Long non-coding RNA from Zalophus californianus (California sea lion), 1546 nucleotides. RefSeq lists it as uncharacterized. The record is from RefSeq and is a predicted model, not a curated record. NCBI's taxonomy places the organism in Eukaryota, Metazoa, Chordata, Mammalia, Carnivora, Otariidae. The transcript is spliced from 2 exons.
AAGAAGAGAGGGUGAGUGCACAGGGUUGGAGGACCCGUCCUCCCCAUUCCAUACUAUGCUGCUGUUUGUGCUGGGGAAGGAGGGAGGGCCCUGGGUGUCUGCACCAGGAGAGCGACAGCUAAGUGGCAGUGUUUGCAACAAUUGGAAGCUAGUACUAAAUACUCACCUAGUGACCCUGACAAUUUCAUAAACAUAGUUCUCAUGGUGGAAAAAGCAAUACAAUGAGGUCGGCAGCACACUAUUCUAUACAUAAAUUAAAACACGUGCAAACAGAAAGCCAACACCCAUUUUGCAAAAAUACAUAUGAAAAACAGAUACCCAUUAAGCAUAUCAGAAAGGUUGACCUUGACGGCGGGAGUUAUUGCGGCCUGGGGGGGUGGGGGGGUUAAAAAAGAAAACCACAGGCCCAAAAUGGCGUCACUUCCGUUAAGGCCCCAAGUGUAAACCGAGACUUAAUAGCUAACCUGACUGCAGUUUCAGUCCCCCAGGACUAUAACCCUUAACCAGUCAACAUGGGACUUCCCAGAGAGCACUAGGCAAUUUACCGUGGGGCCCCUUCCAUUCCCCUUAGGAGGGUGACCUUGCCUAAAACAAUGGUUUCUCUCCUAAUAAUUUCUUUUUUUCUGUUCUCUACCUUUUAAAAACUUGAAUUUUCUGUAGCCCUUUGGAGCUCCCCUCUCCUUGCUAACUGGGAAGCUGGCCAAAUUCAUGAAUUGACUACUGACAAAGCCAGUUAGGUAUUUAAAAUGUACUCAGUUGAAUUCUUGUUCUAUAACAGAGACAAAAGAGAAGAUAAACAGCGAGAAUAAAUAGCUAAGACUGGAGAGGGCGCUCACACAAACUAAUGAAGAAAAUGGGCCCCAACUGAAGAAUUUUGUCAAAAUCAGGACACGUCGGUGAAAACCAAGGAGGUGAAGCUAGAAAUGGACUCUGUCCCUCCCCAUCCACCUCCUCGCUCCCCACCAGCCCCUCGCGGCGAGUGGCUGAGCCUGGUGCUCCUGCGCCCUGCACCCUGACCCCUGGUUACGGGGCAGCAGUCCAUGCAGCAAGCAGAGAGGUGCUCUGAGAAGCUACGCAAAAAUGAAGGCUUUCCUAAGAAGGAGAAGGUGAGGUAAGGCGUUAACAGCAAAAGAAAAGGAAGGAUUGUUUCAGGCCAGGACAUCAGGGAGAAACAGCUUGUAUCACACAGAUGGCAGAUGACCUCACUAGUGCUGAGCCGGACAUGUCAGAUGGACUUACAAAAGGUCACCUUCCUGGGAGAGGCUGACAUUGUGAUGAAGCCUUGGGUGUGCUGUGGGGGGGGGGGGCAAAUGACUCCAAUGUGGGCUUAUUUCUUUUUGAACAGGGUGGAGCUUUGAUGGGGGGAGGGGACACCUGAAGUGGGGUGCCCACAACUUUGAAAAAGUUGAGGGGUUCCAGUGGGGACAGAGAGACCGCUCUGAGUUUGUCAGGGCAGCAGGUCUGGAAAGGGUCCUGGAAAGGAGUAAGGUAGGGUAGGAAGUGGCCCUUCUUUCUCCAGGAGGGCUGCUUCCUUCCUCCCACCUCC